UGCGGCGAUGUCGACUUGGAGGUUGUGCCCUUGAGGCGUGGCUUCCGGAGCUAACGCGUUAAGUCGACCGCCUGGGGAGUACGGCCGCAAGGUUAAAACUCAAAUGAAUUGACGGGGGCCCGCACAAGCGGUGGAGCAUGUGGUUUAAUUCGAUGCAACGCGAAGAACCUUACCUGGUCUUGACAUCCACGGAAGUUUUCAGAGAUGAGAAUGUGCCUUCGGGAACCGUGAGACAGGUGCUGCAUGGCUGUCGUCAGCUCGUGUUGUGAAAUGUUGGGUUAAGUCCCGCAACGAGCGCAACCCUUAUCCUUUGUUGCCAGCGGUCCGGCCGGGAACUCAAAGGAGACUGCCAGUGAUAAACUGGAGGAAGGUGGGGAUGACGUCAAGUCAUCAUGGCCCUUACGACCAGGGCUACACACGUGCUACAAUGGCGCAUACAAAGAGAAGCGACCUCGCGAGAGCAAGCGGACCUCAUAAAGUGCGUCGUAGUCCGGAUUGGAGUCUGCAACUCGACUCCAUGAAGUCGGAAUCGCUAGUAAUCGUGGAUCAGAAUGCCACGGUGAAUACGUUCCCGGGCCUUGUACACACCGCCCGUCACACCAUGGGAGUGGGUUGCAAAAGAAGUAGGUAGCUUAACCUUCGGGAGGGCGCUUACCACUUUGUGAUUCAUGACUGGGGUGAAGUCGUACGGGGAAACCCCUAAAAACAGGGAGGCACCACGGGGGUUUCGGGUGCGGAAAGCCGGGCGUC
Molecule: ribosomal RNA, 750 nt
Filed under: Escherichia coli
Lineage: Bacteria; Pseudomonadati; Pseudomonadota; Gammaproteobacteria; Enterobacterales; Enterobacteriaceae
Description: bacterial SSU rRNA
Rfam family: Bacterial small subunit ribosomal RNA
Source: RNAcentral